Molecule: small nucleolar RNA, 138 nt
Organism: Mastomys coucha (southern multimammate mouse)
Lineage: Eukaryota; Metazoa; Chordata; Mammalia; Rodentia; Muridae
Product: small nucleolar RNA SNORA17
Exons: 1
Source: RefSeq, a predicted model, not a curated record
UCUGGCCCCGAGAGGCGUUGCAGGUGUGGCUGCUGUGUCGCAUGUCCAUCAGUAGGUGCCAGAGUAGGUGGAGAGAGGCUAUGUCUACACUCAAAAGUUCUGACCCCUGAACACCUGAAUGAGUACUAGCCUAACCCU